UAUGAUUCAUCUUUGUCAUCCCCAAUCCUCAUCUCUGAUUACCAAUAAACCUAACCAUGACCCAUCAUCUUUGUCACCAACAACCAUACUCUAAAAACAAACCUGCAACAAUUAUAUAAAACCUCAAUCCCCAAACACCAUGUAUCGAAUUCAGAGUAAGAGAAAUUAGCUAUGAAACAAUGCUAAUUUUCAGAAUUUUUCGAUUGGAUUCUCUACAGCUGCAACCAAGGGGCGGAUUCUCUACAGUGAUGCAUUUCUUCCACAACGCCAAUAGUUAAAAGCCAGACCUGAAGACGAAAGUUGAAACCCAGGGAUCGAAGUUGGCGAUAGUUAAAACUUAAAACCCAAAUCUAAACCAUCCUGUCGGCCGCUGGAAAUACGAGAGUUAAAGACGAAACAAAGAUCCAUUAAGGUUAGCUUAAUGACAGUCGAAAUCUUGUUGGAAAAACGAGCGCCGUGGUGGUCGGCCCGGUGACGAGUGGGUGGUCGUGGGACUAUGGUGUUGUGGUGUUGGGCGUGGUGGUUUGAGUGAUGGUCGUUGCAGCGAUGGUUUGGUGGCGGUUCACGGUGGGUGGCUGGAGAUCGUUGAUGAGGGAGGGGAGGCGGAGGUGAGAUGAUGGCAGUGGUAUGACGGGGAUGGUGGUGGUGUGUGGCGGAGGUGGGUGGUAACAGGUAGAGGACUAGAGGUAGGUGGUGGGGGUUGUAUGGUCUGCUGGUGGUAAUGGUUUGCUGUGUGGUUUGCAGGUAAGAAAGAUUAUGUAAGAGUUCAUUGUUAUUAUAACACCACCUACCCCUUAUUCAUCCAAACCCAGUUGUAUUGAAAUGGAAAUGACCAAAUUGCCCAUCAUGUGACAAGCAUGUGCUUCCGUUAACUGCAUAAAACAAACGCCGUUUGAAAAGUGGACUGAAAUGGUUAUGAAAAUGAAACUAAUGGACUGAAAUCGCAAUUUUUAAACUAAUGGACUGAAACCGUUAUUUUUGACAAACCUCAAGGACGAAAACAGUAAUUAACUCAAAAAACUAUUUCUAUAACUGUUACGUACGUACUAUGGGGUAGCUGAAGUACUUCAGAAACGCAUUUCAAUUAGAGGUGGCAAUAUGAAUGGGUUGGAUUGGAUUGGUUGUUGGGUUAGGAUGAGAUUGGGUUAGAAUGGGUUUGGGUCAGGAUGGGUA
Molecule: long non-coding RNA, 1173 nt
Filed under: Helianthus annuus (common sunflower)
Lineage: Eukaryota; Viridiplantae; Streptophyta; Magnoliopsida; Asterales; Asteraceae
Description: hypothetical non coding rna
Source: RNAcentral